GACGAACGCUGGCGGCGUGCUUAACACAUGCAAGUCGAACGGCAAGGCCCUGCUUUUGUGGGGUGCUCGAGUGGCGAACGGGUGAGUAACACGUGAGUAACCUGCCCUUGACUUUGGGAUAACUUCAGGAAACUGGGGCUAAUACCGGAUAGGAGCUCCUGCUGCAUGGUGGGGGUUGGAACGUUUCGGCGGUUGGGGAUGGACUCGCGGCUUAUCAGCUUGUUGGUGGGGUAGUGGCUUACCAAGGCUUUGACGGGUAGCCGGCCUGAGAGGGUGACCGGCCACAUUGGGACUGAGAUACGGCCCAGACUCCUACGGGAGGCAGCAGUGGGGAAUAUUGCACAAUGGGCGGAAGCCUGAGGCAGCAACGCCGCGUGCGGGAUGACGGCCUUCGGGUUGUAAACCGCUUUCGCCUGUGACGAAGCGUGAGUGACGGUAAUGGGUAAAGAAGCACCGGCUAACUACGUG
Molecule: ribosomal RNA, 468 nt
Filed under: uncultured bacterium
Lineage: Bacteria
Description: partial 16S ribosomal RNA
Rfam family: Bacterial small subunit ribosomal RNA
Source: RNAcentral